CUCCAGUACUGCGUACAAUACGCCAAGUGAGGUCUCACCAGUGUUCUGUAAAAUGGUAUGAGCACUUCCCUCUUUCUACUGCUAAUACCUUUCCCUAUACAACCAAGCAUUCUGCUAGCAUUUCCUGCUGCUCCAUUACAUUGUCUGCCUACCUUUAAAUCAUCAGAAAAAAUCACCCCUAAAUCCCUUUCCUCAUAUGUUGAGGUUAGGACUCUAUCAAAUAUUC
Non-coding RNA from Pelobates cultripes (western spadefoot toad), 226 nucleotides. NCBI's taxonomy places the organism in Eukaryota, Metazoa, Chordata, Amphibia, Anura, Pelobatidae. The record is from the annotation of a GenBank genome assembly.